UUCAACCAGCCAGCUAGGAAAACAAGGAGACGUGCUGCUAGACAGCAGAAGGCUGUGAAGAUCUUCCCAAGGCCAACUGCGGGAUCACUUCGACCUAUACUAUUUUGUGGAACUAAUUGGCACUAUUCUUUUCUUUUUUUAAAUUCAAUUUUGGUUGAACAGUAUUAACAUUUUUCUACCUGUCUUUACUCUGUUGUCUUCAGCUAGACAGCAGAAGGCUGUGAAGAUCUUCCCUAGGCCAACUGCAGGAUCACUUCGACCUAUUGUUCAUGGACAGACACUGAAAUACAACAUGAAAGUCCGGGCUGGGAGGGGAUUUUCUCUUGAAGAACUGAAAGUGAGGUUCUAGUUACAUGUUGAAUGUAAUUUACUAGAUAACUUGCCAGCCGUCCAGUUCACCACCCCGUUCUCCCAUAGAGAAGAACAAUUAACAAAAAGCCAUCUCAUUGAGUACAAAAGAAAAUUCUAUUUUUAGUCAUGUAUUUGGCUCUGGAUACUUUUAUUUUAUACUGCCUAUUAUUUUGAAGCACUUGUACGUUUGACUUCCCCAUUAUUAAGUAGCUUUGGGUUUUCAGGCAGCUGGUAUUCCCAAAAAACUAGCACCAACCAUUGGCAUUGCUGUUGAUCAUCGCCGCAGGAACAGAUCAUUGGAAGGUCUCCAAAGUCCAAACCAAUGUCCAGAGGCUCAUUUACUAUUGCUGUUGAUCAUCGCCGCAGGAACAGAUCAUUGGAAGGUCUCCAAACCAAUGUCCAGAGGCUCAAGACUUACAAAGCUAAGCUUGUCAUCUUCCCAAGGCGUGCUAAGAAAAUCAAGGUAAAUUUGAAAAUGAUUAUUCUUUUCCCUGCUAAGUGAGGAUUCCUGCUUUGGUAUCUGAACAGUUUAUGUGAAAAUUUACCUUGAACUCUCUUUUCCAGGCUGGUGAUUCUAGUGCAGAGGAACUUGCUACUGCCACCCAGGUCCAGGGCUCAUACAUGCCUAUUACUAGGGAGCAGCCAGCUGUUGACCUUGUCAGGGUCACAGAUGAGAUGAAAUCAUUCAAUGCCUAUGGCAAGCUGCGUAUCGAGCGUACAAAUGCGCGACACAUCGGAGCCAGGUUGAAGAGGGCAGCUGAAGCAGAAAAGGAAGAAAAGAAAUAAGCAAUUAGAAUUGUCGUGUAGCUUGUUAAGCAUUAUCAGUUUUCUGGUGGACUGAGUGAUGAAGUUAUUGAUACAAUCAUAUUCAGGAUCUUGAGCUUUUCUCUUUAUUCAAGAAUUUUGUUUUGCUUGUGAUAUCAUGCAAAUAUUUUGAUGGUGUUUAUGUUAUAGCAUGAGUCCUAUAUCUCUCUUGUGUCUGCUAUUUCAUAGCCAGCUAGCUUAGUGGAAGUGUCAGUUUUCCAAAUUGUGAUGGCAACUUCAAAUUGAUUAGGUCUAUCUUGCCCCGUCUCGAGCUGAUUUGUUAACCUGAGGGUCAAGCUAUUUUCUGGUGCUACAUCGAUUGAAUGAGGUAGCUGUACCAGUUUCAAUCAAUCAGUUGCCAAUGAAGUUAUCAACCUUUUUAAGAAAUAGUAUAUUUCAUUUGUUUCGAAUGUCAAAUCAAUGGAAAUACAGGCUCACAGCUCAUAGAGUCACUGGGAAAGCAAGGGAAGUGCUAGUUGUGGUUGUGGUGACACUUGCUUUCUUAAGGUAUAGUGUAGAAGGGAAUAAGUGGUAUGAAGUUGUUUGUGAGGUUUUGUUCGACCUCAAGGAUAAGGGUAAGAGGACUUGAAUGUAAUGCGCACAUACUUGAGGUUUCUAUUAGAACAAUCCCGCGAUAGUCAGGACAAUAUUUCCAAACAUGUUUUGUAUGUGAAAUGCCAAACUAAAGAAUCUUGAUGCAGAUUUUUUAUAGCAUAUAGUUUUAUGCAACUUAAGAAGCUAGCUAGUAACACAUCAACUUUCUAACAUUAACCGAGAAUUGAUGAAUUGACAUUUGCAUAUUUCUUUCUAGAAUAUGCUGAAUUGAUGAAUUGACAUUUGCAUAUUUCUUUCUAGAAUAUGCUCUACUUUUAGGCCAUCAUCAUCGGUUGGUAAACUGAUAUUAUGUUAAUUUGGUGUAUUAAUAUUCUUAGAUGAAUUUUCCUUUAGUUUUGAAAUCCAUUGUAGCACAUUGUUGCUAUUCUUUAGAAAGAAAAACCAGAUACCUGAAAGUUAUAGCAACUAAAUUUGAUCUAAAUGCGGGUCAUUGAUGACAUCCAGCCGUCGGCCAUAGCUAUAGGGAACAAAAUCAGGAGCUAGAUGCAGUCUUUUCAUAAGCUUAGAAUUGACAAUUCCUUUGAUCUUUGCAAAUCAUGCAAUAUGGUAAAACAUCUUUGGAGCAGUUCCUAAGAAAAGUUAAAGCCUAUAAUAUUACUCAUAAUUUUUUAAUAAUCACUCUAUGCUACAAGAGACCAACUCUUAUGUUAGUAUGUGACUAUGAAUGUUUUUGUAUUUAUAUAAUUAUCCAGUUUAUCAAAAAUAAACAAACUAAAUUUAAUCUCAUUAAGUCUAAAAAAUGGGAUAUAUAUAUAAUCACAGAGAAUUAGUCCAUCUUACUUCAAAAAUAAUUAGUUUGAAGUGAUUAGAGUACUAGUAUAAAACCAAAAAGAUAAAAAGAAGGAAGAGUACACUGGAAAAAAUUUACAUAUACACCAUUUUUUUUGUAAGAAAAAGAAAAAUGGAAUUCCAAUAUGAGAAAGUGGUCUAUGGAAGAAAAAAAAUCAGUUAUUUAAGUAUUACCAAAUUGAGUAGACAUGUGCUUUCAUUAGAUAGUAAUUUCUUAUUUUUUUUCUUCUAUUCAAAUAUAAGGACAUAAAACUAAACGUGAUGAAACCAAAACAGAAAGAAAAAAUAAAGUAGGAACGAAAUUUGGGGUAUCUGCCAUCAAGGUUUAUUUUUUUCUCUAUAUCGUCUUCAAUUUUUUCCACUUCAUUGUUCUUAUUUUCCUUUCUCCUUUUAUUCCUAAUCUCUCUCUAAAUAAGUUUUAGAUUGAUGGACAUCGAUUUAAGGUGUUAGGGUGACAUUGGAGUCGGUUAUGAAACUUCGGAGCAUGGUAAGUCUCCUAUCUAAUCUUGUGAGGAGGAAUCAACAUCGUAGGUAUUGUAAUUGCUAUGUACUACGUAUUGUGGGAGCUGCACACGUAUGAGAUGACUAGUGUCUGUGCGUAUGCUAGAAUUAAUGAUUAGGUCCGGAUAAACUCAGGCUCACACCAUGUCUUAAAUGUAGUAUUUGAGUUAUCAUUUCCUGUUUAGUUGCUCUAAUUUAGGUUCUUGUCCGAGACUAACUUGCUUAAAGUAUCGAACAUACGAUUUUUGAUAUAAGGUUAGCUACUUGAGUAACAGCAGAGAGUACACUUCCUUUUACGGGUUCCUCCCAUGUUCCACGUAUUUGUUCGAAAGUUUCUUUAAUUUCACGACUCAUAUGUAUAUUCGUGAGUGUGGAUAGUGACCCGCCAAGUCUUCACUAUUUUUUAUGAGAUCAGGCUAAUCGUCUCAGCAACAUCUUUAUGGGAUCCAGCCGUUUGCCUCGGUGGUAUAUGGGUUGCACACAUAGAUCAGGUCGUAUGACCUCGACUGUGUGUAUACACUGCUAUUAUAGGACCGAGCCAUCCACCACAACAGGAAUUUGUGCUUUCACUCUUAUGGUAUUAGGCCGCUCGCCUCGACAGAAUUGUACGAAAUAUUAGAUAAGGAGUCAGCGUAUUUAUGAGUUUUCCUAACUUGAGAUGUGACUAUUGGUUUGGUGUUGACCAACGCGGUUAUCGAUAUUUGAGGACCUUGUGUUAUUUCUCAAUUGAGGAUUUCAUUAUGUAUUUAUAUCUGUUUCCACGGUUUUACCUGUCAUGCCUCAUAUCUUUUUACUUUUAAUAUGUAUGAUCUACUGGACACUAGUAAGUAUUGAGGUCGAUCUCUCCUCACUAUUUCUCCGGGGUUAGAUUAUAUACUUACUAGGUACAUGUUGAUUUACGUAGUCACGUUACAUUUCUGCACUCAUUGUGCAUGUAUAUUUAUGAUGGUUAUUUGGGGCACGUAGGUGCAGUUGCUAAGGGGAUUUAUGGUGAGUUGUAUUCCGUAUUACGAACUGCAACACAGAGCCUCCAUCAGAUUUCUUUCUUUAUCUUGUCUAUAUUAUAGUUCAGAGAGAUGUUGUAUUAUUAUUGUAUUUCCUAGUAGAUGCCCAUGCACUUGUGACACCGAAUUUUAGAAUGUUCUAAAAUUUGUUUGUAGGUUUGCUUAACAUUGACACUCUUUUUAUUUUAUAUUUUAUUAAAUAUUAGGUUUCUAUGGUUUUAAUGCUUUAAUUUCUUUAUCUAAUAAGAUUUACCAUUCAAAAAUAAUAAAAUAAAUUAUUUUGUUGAUAGUUCAACGUUGUCUUACCUAAUGGCGAAGUUGGGUACCAUCACGACCUAUAGUGGGAAUCGGGUCGUGACAGCUUGGUAUUAGAGCACUAGGUUCUCUUAGGUCUCAUGUGUCAUGAGCAAGUCUAGUAGAGUUUUGCGGAUCAGUAUAAAGAUGUUUGUACAUUUCUUCGAGAGGAUGCAUGGAUAUUAGGAUAACUUUCCCUACAUGAUAUUUUCCCUGUGUAUUCAAGUGGACUAUUAUCGUUGCCUCGUAGAGGGGUUUCCUAUCGUUUCAACCCAAUGUUAGUAUUGCCCAUGGUUUUGAGGCCUUGCACUACGAAUUGUGAUGUACAUAUAUUGUUAUCGCGUAGAGCUGGUGUAAAUGGUAGGGUGCUUAAUUAUGUGCUGCGGCAGUGAAUGACUCAAAAGGAGGAUUAUCCAGUUCAUGGUUUAGAGAUUUGGCAUUUAAUCCCAGCAAAGGAAUGGCAAUUAGACUGCAGAUGUUCAGACGUUUGUUGACAAAGUUGUAAGAUGGGGUAUUUUUCGAAUUUGGUGGAAAUCCUUGGUUAUUUUAAGGAGUCGACGUACUUGUUUGAAUGCAUUAAGGCUCGUCGAUGUGUUGGCCUUCAUUUUUUUACCUUUGGGCCAAGGUGUCAUGAAAUGGUACGUAACAAGUAGUUAUUAGGAUGAUAGUGUAUUGCGAUUGUAGGGUAAGAUCAUUGCCUCCCGUGUUGAUAUCUCGAGGAAGAUGAUCUUGAAGGAGGCUUAGAUUUGGUGGCAAUUUAUUAUUCGGGUGCUAUAGAGAAGGAUGAUGAUUGAGGCUGUGUUUUAGAAGCGAAAGAUAAGGAAGAGCAUGAAAGGUUAUGUAUCGCGGUAGUUGAGUUAUUAGCAUGCCAAGUACGAGCAACAGAUAUCAAGUAGUUCCUUAGGAAGUUGAAUGCGAUGAGAAGACUUUCUUGGAACGUAGAGGAAUGUGAAAUUUUGAUUAUCGUUUUGGGAUGCAAUAUGACUUCGAAUUUUGAACGCAUUGCGGAUCUUAAGUUGAUGUUAGUGGAAAUGAAUGGGCGUUUGCAGCUGGUGGGAGAGUGUGAGAUCAGGAGGAUUAACCAAAUUUAUGGUGGUUGUAACCAGGGAAAUAUCAUUGGAAGAUGUCGAUAUGGGGUUUUACAUAGAUGGGUUAUAAGAGUUAUACCUUCUAUCCAAUGUGAGUUUAUGUAAGGUAGUGUGAGCUUGGAUUGCUUGAAGAAGGUGGUACAACUGUCAAGAGGUCGAGUGUGCGAUUGUGGCUGAUAAUUCAGAAUGUCUUAUGAUUAGUGAAAUACAAAUUUAUGAGAAAUUUUGCUGAGAUCAUCGUAGCAGAUAAGGAGAAGUCAUUGUGGGUUCUGAAUUUAUGUGAAUGUAGCCAAAAACUAAGUGGGGGAGCCUACCGCCUACGAUUGGGUCACGUGGUUAUGUGCCUUGGCAGUAUCGGGUUAUAGGUACAUUUAAGUAUUAUUUAUGAGUAAGGAAAGAAAACAUCAAGGGUAAUUCGGGGCAAGGGAUUUGGUGCAUGCUACAUUUUGCUAUAUCGAUUCAUGUGCAAAUUUUGGGGAUGACUACGAGUUUAUGAUUCUUGUAGAAGUAAUGCACAAGGAAAAAGAUUCAUCUAGUUGCUUCUUUGGAGUGUUCAGGUGCUAACAGAGCACCGGUUGUUUGGGUAUAUACUCAUAACCAAGUCAGAGUGUGCGGCUCUUAAUAAUGGUUCUGACGAAUUUGAGAUUUAAAGUGUAGUGGCUAGGAAUUUCGGGUUUGUCGUGUGGCUGAGGAAUUAGUAUUAUAGUGGAGUGUGAAAAACUCAUGGAGUAUUUCUAUGAAUAUCACCGGAUCUGCGGUGCGAUGUUUGACAGAUAGAGGAAAUACCUUCAAAUUCGGACAAGAUCUUCAAAAUUAAGUACACGAGAAGAGUAUAAUUAAAUUAGCUUAUGGGUAUUGAGACGACGAGGUCUCAUGCUUUGGGUCACUCGAGGAAAGUGUUGAUCGAGGUCCGUUGUGUGUUUGAAUAUCGGAAGAAGUUGAAUUAGUUAGUAGUAGUUUGGAUCAACAUAGUUAAGAAACUGAUCGAUUCCUUCAGUGUAGUAAAGCUAUACGGGUAUUCGUGGCUAUAGAUGUGGUCUUGGAAGUAUUUAUAAUUUAAUUGAUUUUAGGGUAUUUAAAUUUGAUGGUUAAUGAAAUUAUAGUGGUUUAGACCCCGACUUAAGUAAACAAUUUCUAGCUAAUGAAGUAUUUAUUUUACUGGUGGUUCAGGAGUUAAAUGAAAUUCUUUUACUCUCGUGUAGCAACAUGAUAGGUGCAAUGAGCGGUGCGAAACUGGGGUUGAAAGGUCAAUGUUUCUAUUUAGUUUGUCGAGGAUGUCACAAGUUUGAAGAAAGCAGCGAUUUCAGACUUUUAGAGUAUGGUGGAACUAUUUUAUUGUCGCUGAGAAUGGUAUUCUAUAGAAGAGGCAUUGUAUAUCGAACUGCAAGUUCUUGAUUUACAUUACAGAAAUAGUACGGUUAGUAGCCAUGGAUGUGCAGAUUUUACUACCUGUUGUGGAAGGUUGGGGAGUAUAUCCCACAGGAUGACCGUAUAAGUGUGACGUGUUAGUCAUUUAAGUGUUAGAGAUUUAAAUUAGGUACAAAAAUUUGGGUACUAUCGCGGAUUGGAGAGUUUAUGUCUAAGAGAUGCUCUAUUCCUUUGGUUGUGGAAGUUUGUUCCAAAUUUUACUGUCGAUCGUAUGUGUCAUGUAUAUGGUCACUGCGGGUCUUCGGGAGGUUAUCGACCUAUUUUGGGAUGAUCAGAAUCAGCUUGAGGUCUGUUUGUAGAUCUAAUGUGAAUGUGUGUCCUACAUCAGGUUGAAUGUACUCCUUCAGCAUAGCAUUGCUUAUGGAGGAGUCUUUAGGCGUUGGAUGUUAUUCCUACCGUCAGCUAUUCUAUGUAAUACUCUAUUAUGCCAUAUGGAUUGUGAGAUGUCUUGAUCAUUCGCACAUGUGUUAUGAUCAUGUGUAGCUUGUGGUGUUAUAUGAGCGAUAUGUCUCUCGAGAUAUUGGAAUGCACGCCGCAAUAGUGAUAUAUUGAGUGCAAAUCUUUAUACGUAUCUUGUGUGUUUUGUUGUUAUCUCUGAGUUAGGUUCAUAACAUUGUUUGGUUGCUUACGCGGGCCAGAUAGUCCUGAUUCGGGUUCGUUUUUCCUUAUUGGUCAUAUUUAGUUGUGGCUUAUUGGUGCUUUGAUGGCGUUGUAUGAGAUUUUAGGCAGUGUUUGAGGUGGCUUAUUGCCAAGCAGCUUGUACUAGGUGAGACGAGGUUAUUAGCCCUGAAUCUGUGCAAUCGGAUUUAUAUAAGGUAUAAUAGAGGGGAAAUGCCACUAUUUAGUUCAGAAUGAGGCAGUUCUUAUUGAGAAGGAAUUCCAUGAAUUAUUGGUUUGGCGGGUGGUUAUGAGAUUCUAUACGUCUCGUUCAACAUCGUAGUAUUGUGAGGGUUAGAACAUGGCUUAUAUGUGUUAUGAGGAAUACUACGGGCAUCGGGUUAGUGAAUUUGCACAUGUAGUGGUUGCAAGAUUUUAUUUUAGGCAUACAAAUUAUGCGGUGCAUGGUGUGAUUUCAUCAUGGGUACAUGAUCAUGUUUUGGUUCAGCAUGUCGAGGUUGAUGCGACAUUCGUAUGUUACAAUAAGACCUGGUAAAAUAUUUUGGAUGUUGGAAUUUGGUUAUAAUGAUUGUGGAUUAAGGUAGCAGGAAUGAUCUUCAGUCUGGAUUGAGUUAAUGUGCUCAUGUGGGUUUUGGUGGCAUGGGUGGGUGCACAAGGUGUUAAAAAAUUAUUUUGGGCAACUCUGGAACAAUUCUUGGCACGUUCGAGGACGAACGUAUGUUUAAGUAGGGGAGAAUGUAACGAUCCGACCAGCCAUUUUGAGUUUUAACAUGACAUUCACCAGUUUGAGACCUUGAGUAGCUUCAUUCCAUGUAUAGUGACUUGCACGUGUGGUUGGUUUCGAUUUUCGAGAAGUUUAGAGUUGAUUUGGAAGGAUUAUUCUCAAUUCGAAAGCUUGAAGUUGGAAGAGUUGAUCAGUUUUGACUUUUAAGUACACAACCUUGGAAUCGGAAUUUGAAGGUUCUAACAUGUUUGUGUCAUGAUUUUGGACUUGGGCAUAUGUUCGUAUCGAGUUUUGGGUGGACCAGAAGUGUUUCGGCGCUCAUUGUGGAGAGUGAGAAUUUCAAAGGUUUUAGAAUUUUCUAAGUUUGAUUUGAAGUGGACUUUGGUGUUAAUGAUGUCUGUUGGGAAUUCCGAGCCUUGAAAUAGGAUCUAUUGUGAUGUGUGACUUGUGCGUAAAAUUUGGCGUUAUUCAUGUUUAGGUAUGAUUCUGACGCGUUCAACGAAACUUGAAUGCUUGAAAGUUAAAAGAAGGAUUUUGAUCUUAGAUUUGUGGUUUUGAUAUUAUUCGUUAAAUUUCGAGCCCUUGGAUAAAUUUAGAUAAGGUAUUGGGACUAGUUGGGCCGAUUGAACGGGGUCCCGGGAGCCUCGGGUGUGUUGCGGGAUGGGUUCAAACCAAGGUUGAGUGAAUUAUUAUUGCGGGAUGGGUUUACCCUAUUGUCCUGCAUCAACACCUCUCCAAGUCCGACUCGUGAGGCAUCACAAUAGACUGUAUAACACCCCAAACUAGAAGGCAAAAUCAGAAUAGGGGCUAAAGUCAAGGCCAUCUUGAGCUUCUGGAAGCUCGCCUCACACUCGUCUAUCCACUAAAAGGGAGCACCCUUCUGGGUCAAUCUAGUCAUAGGGGCUGCAAUCGAUGAGAAUACCUCCACAAAAAAAUGGUAAUACCCCGCUCGGCCAAGGAAACUGCGGAUCUCUGUAGCUAAGGAGGGCCUGGGCCAACUCUGCACGACUUCCACCUUCUUCGGAUCCACCCGAAUGCCCUCACUCGAUACCACAUGGCCUAGGAAUGCCAUAGAACUCAACCAAAACUCACAUUUUGAGAACUUUGCAUAUAAUUUCUUUUCUCUCAGUGUUUGAAGCACUGUCCUCAGGUGAUGCUCAUGAUCUUUCCGUCUCUGGGAGUAUACAAGAAUAUCAUCUAUGAAAAACAAUGACAAAUACAGGGCCUGAAUACACUUUGUAUCAAAUCCAUAAAAGAUGUUGGGGCGCAGUCCAAAUGACAUGAUAAGGAACUCGUAAUGACCAUAUCGAGUCCUGAAAGCAGUCUUCGGGAUAUUCGGAUCCUGAAUCUUUAACUGGUGAUAACCUGUGCGCAAAUCAAUCUUAGAAAACACCUGUGCACCCUGAAGCUGGUCAAAUAGAUCAUCAAUACGAGGCAAAGGAUAUCGGUUCUUCACUGUAACCUUGUUCAACUAACGAUAGUCGAUACACAUGUGCAUAGAACCCUCCUUUUUCUUUACGAACAAGACAGGAGCACCCCACGUGAAACACUAGGUCGGAUGAAACCCUUAUCAAGAAAUUCCUGUAAUUGAUCUUUCAACUCCUUCAACUAAGGAGGAGCCAUACGGUAAGGAGGAAUGGAUAUGGGCUGAGUGCCCGGAAACAAAUCAAUUCCAAAAUCAAUGUCCCAAUUAGGCGACAUGCCCGGAAGAUCAGCUGGAAACACAUCAGGGUAAUCCCGUACCACUGGGGCUGAUCAACAGAAGGGGUAUCAGCAUUAACAUCUCUCACAUAAGCUAAAUACGUGGCGCACCCCUUCUCAACCAUACGUCGAGUUUUAAGAAAAGAUAUAACUCUACUGGGAGUGUGAUCAAAAGUACCACUCCACUCAAUACGCGGAAUACCUGGCAUAGCCAGCGUCACGGUCUUAGCGCGACAAUCAGGAAUAGCAUACUGGAGCGAACACCAAUCCAUGCCCAAGAUAACAUCAAAAUCAACCAUAUCUAAUAAUAAAAGAUCUGCUCUGGUCUCAAAACCAUGAAUAGUAACCAAACAUGACCGAUAUAUGCGGCCCACAACAAGGGAAUCUCCUACAGGAGUAGAAACAUAAACAGGAGAGCUCAAGGUCUCUUGGGCUAUAUCUAAAUGCGGAGCAAAAUAAGAUGACAUGUAAGAAUAGGUAGAGCCUGGAUCGAGUAGAAUCGAUGCCUCUCUUUGACUAACCAAUAUAACACAUGUGAUAAUAGUAUCGGAGGCGACAUCCACAAUAUGAGAAGGAAUGGCAUAAAAUCUGGCUCGACCCCUCCCUCUAGGGCGACUUCUAUCUCCCCGAUCCCCGCCCCUGGCUGGUUAGGCAGGUGGGGUGGUAGCUGGAGCUGGAACAAUGGCCUGCUGACCUUGUGGAGCAUGCUGAGGCUGUGGAGUCUGAGAAGGCGUACCCCUCCCAAGUUAGGGGAACUCCCUAACCAUGUGGCGGGAAUCCUCGCACUCAAAACAAGCUCUGGGAGGGCGCAGUGGCUGUGACUGACUGGGCCCACCCCUGCUAGACUGACCUCUGGAAGUACCCCACGCAUGAGGCACACAAGAAAUCGGAGGUGCAUAAUAAGGCUCCUGAGAUCUGGGGGGAGAUGGAGUACUGCUGGAUGAAGGAAGAGAUGAGUGAACUGGGCGACCCGUAUAGCCCCUACCAUGACGUCCUGGUGCUGAUGUACGGGUACCAGAGUAGUGACCCGACUCUCGAGACCUCUUGUCCUCUCUCUCCUCCCGAUCUAUGGCGUGCAUACCCUCUAUCCUCCUAGCUAUGCUCAUUACAUGCUGAUAGGGUAUAUCCAUCUCCAACUCUCAAGCCAUGUCAGACCUGAUCGGAAGA
This 11084-nucleotide long non-coding RNA is filed under the name Nicotiana benthamiana. RNAcentral's name for it is "long non-coding RNA (NBEN_LNC029289)". The record is from RNAcentral. Lineage: Eukaryota; Viridiplantae; Streptophyta; Magnoliopsida; Solanales; Solanaceae.